GGACUGACACUGACGCUGAGGUACGAAAGCGUGGGUAGCAAACAGGAUUAGAUACCCUGGUAGUCCACGCCGUAAACGAUGUCGACUAGCCGUUGGGGUCCUCGAGACCUUUGUGGCGCAGUUAACGCACUAAGUCGACCGCCUGGGGAGUACGGCCGCAAGGUUAAAACUCAAAUGAAUUGACGGGGGCCCGCACAAGCGGUGGAGCAUGUGGUUUAAUUCGAUGCAACGCGAAGAACCUUACCUACCCUUGACAUCGUGCGAACUUUCUAGAGAUGGAUUGGUGCCUUCGGGAGCGCACAGACAGGCGCUGCAUGGCUGUCGUCAGCUCGUGUUGUGAAAUGUUGGGUUAAGUCCCGUAACGAGCGCAACACUUGUUCCUAUUUGCCAGCGAUUCGGUCGGGAACUCUAGGGAGACUGCCGGUGACAAACCGGAGGAAGAUGGGGAGGACGUCAAGUCAUCAUGGCCCUUACGGGUAGGGCUACACACGUGCUACAAUGGCCGGUACAGUGGGUUGGAAAGCGGCGACGUGGAGCUAAUCUCAUAAAGCCGGUCUCAGUCCGGAUCGGAGUCUGCAAAUCGACUCCGUGAAGUCGGAAUCGCUAGUAAUCGUGCAUCAGAAUGGCACGGUGAAUACGUUCCCGGGCCUUGUACACACC
RNAcentral lists this ribosomal RNA (660 nucleotides) under uncultured Halomonas sp. Its description in RNAcentral is "bacterial SSU rRNA". It matches the Rfam family "Bacterial small subunit ribosomal RNA", at positions 731 to 1391 of the family's 1533-position model. Lineage: Bacteria; Pseudomonadati; Pseudomonadota; Gammaproteobacteria; Oceanospirillales; Halomonadaceae. The record is from RNAcentral.